AUGCCAAAAGAACAUUUGUAAUUACUUAUGAACUUUUUCUACUUAUUUCUUUAGACCAAAUCCCCUGUACACAUAUAGUGACUCAGAGGAUGAGCAGCCCACAAAAAAACGGUUUCCCCAGGCACCUCGAGUGAAAAUACCAGGUAAUAAAAUAAUGUCUAGUGUCUGUGUACAUAUCUGUGUGUGACACAUGGAAACUUUUUGGACAAGUUGUCUGUAUUCUUAAAUACUUUAAAAAAUUUAUCUUUUUCUAAACAGCCCUCACCACUCCGCAGUCUUCCCCCCAGCCCACUGACAGCAGGCAUCAUAAUGCCCCUCCCAGCUUUCGGCACCUUUCGCCACUCCGGCAGAACACUCCAAACGACACAGCUUUGCAAUCUCCCCAGCAUGCAGAGUCUGAUGUCGAGGCCUUCCCUAUAGAUGACCUGACGAGAUCUCUUAACGAACUCCGUGAGGAGGUCAGAGCCAUCCGCAAUACCAGCUCCAAUGAAUCGGUAGAUGCUGGGCUACUCCCUUUGGAUUUGCCCUUGCACAACAUUGAGGAGCUAAACAAUGCAGAGGCAGCUCUUCAAUCACAAGAGGCAAAUAAGGCAAUGGUGAGACGCUUUGCCUUGAUUGGAGGGACCACACUGGAGGUGCGAGUCCGCCGUGUAAUGGCUUAUGCCAUCACAAACGAGCUGGCCUCAGUACUAAACUGGGCAGGGAAAAAACAAAGGACCAGACGAAGCAAAAAAGGGCAUUUAAAGAGACAGCGCUGUGCAGAUGCAUAUUUGGUAAGUUUUACAGUUUAUUGUAGUUUUAUGAGCCUAAAGUGAACAAUGAAGGGAUCGAUUGAUCUGCUGGGUGUGUUUCACAUGUCCUAUGUCCAGUUUUUGCUAUAUUACUUUGUCUUUUUUAAUAACAAGACUUUCAUGUCUGGUUAAUCUGGAGAUGGAGUCUUUGGUCUUUGGCUUGUUUAGUCCUCGGGUUGUAGUUUGUACAGCCCGACGAUCCCAUGUUUAUUUUGUUUUAAAGGAUGCACGGCACACCAUGCUAAGACUUAUCACUUUUUCCACUCAUAGCUCUUUGGGAAUCAAAUGCGGCAGUUUGCAGAUUUACGCCUGGUGACUUUCAUGUUUAUCAGCCUAGGAGUUUACAUACUUUCUCCCUGCUGAAGACAGAUAACAAGAGCUUAUUCAUGUGCUCUAAUUCACUUUUUUUGUUUGUGUGUGUGUGUAUUUUUGUCCUAGAUGGCCUGACGCAGCAGUUAGGGGCAAACUCUAUGUCAGAGUUUGUCUUUGCACAGGCAGUGCAGAAAUGGCUCCGAUAUGCCCCAGACCGUUUGGGUGGCGCAGGACGCACAUCAUCCGUCCCCAUCCCGGAGUAAAAACUACAAAGUUAUGUUAAAAUAUAAAUGUAAAUAGAAAACUGUCUUUUAAUAAAGUAUUUGGCAAACGAAACAUGUCUAUUGACCAUUUUUUGUUUAGUUUUCUUUUUCUCUGUUACAUCACAUGCAAUGCUUUCUUAUUUUAUGAUAUUAAUAUUGACAUGAUACAUUGUGAGACAUUUGAUUUUUAUAAAGGGUGUCCAGUUUGAGGAAUAAGUGCAAUUAUGUGUUUAGGUGGUUUAAGUAUUGAUGGAAACAUGCAGUAGUUUAGUAUUGGUUAAAAUACCUAUAAAGAAAGGUAGAUUUCCAGUCAUGAUUUAACUGUUGUUUUAAUAAAAAAACAACUGCGAAAGAGGUGGAAAAUCAACACCAUAGCUCAACAGCGUUUCAAUAUCAGAAUCUGACAUUGUUUCAAUGUCAACAGUGUUAGAAAAUAUAACGUCGAAUCAAUGUCAGGUUUCAACAUUGAUUCAACAUCAAAACCUGACGUUGUUUCAACGUUAAAAAUGGGUGCAAGAGUGACGUUGGGAGGCUAAUUGUGUUUGUUUUUGCCUGUUCCCAGGAGCGAACGAGAUGGAGAGACGGAAGGAGCGACUUUGCUGAUUUUUGGGAGUUUUAUGGACACCAAUGCUCUAGCACGUAUCACGAGGGGAGAACGAGAGAGGAUCACUGAAAGGACUUGCACUGUGGAUAACUGUGGACUGGUUUUGCUUCACUGUAAAUAAAGACACUGUUCAACUUUAAUGAGAGGUCCGCGUCUGGGUUUGCUAUCUCACCAUCUUUAACACAUUAGAAGAAUGGUACGUAAGAAAAACAGGAUCACCGUAAUCCACGUAGUUCCUCACGCAUGUAAGUAAUUGAGAGUGAAUGACUCCAGGUGAGCAUUGCCACCGACAAUAAAAAUAAGGUGUAAAAGAUCUCCAUCUCAGCAAAAACCACAAAAGAAAUGAAUCAAGGAAACCGUUCACUUAAAAGUUAACACGGUUAAGAACAGAGUUAAAAACAAAAGAAAAAAAGCAAAACACCAAUAAACACCUGCUGCAGGUCGCCACAAGAGCAGCGCCCCUCACAACACAGAUUCAUGACACACAAAUGCCAGUUCAUCUCUCACUGGUGACACCUCUAAAAUGUUUUUAAUCUUUAAAGUUUUGCCUAAAAUUCUUCUGUCUUUCUUUGUAUUGGCAGUAUUUAGGAAAUGAUACUGGUAUAUGUGGAUUCUAAAUAUCACAUUUCACAAUAAGAAUGGACCAAUCCGAUAUACAUUAUUGUUAUUGGUCUGAUCCUGACCUAAAUUAUCGAUUCCGAUAUCGGGGAGAAAAAAAAUAUAAUCUGAUCCAUUAAAUAUCACACAAGCACCUCACAAAACCUGCAACAUGGUGUAACCCAGGUAGUGACCUUAGCACAUCUGAGCAGUAUGUGUCACGUGAUAGAGAGGCUGUUGUGUGCAAGACCUGUCGGCAGUCUGGAGUUACUCUACACUGAAAAAAUUUGGAGCCUUGCUACGUGUUGCCAAACCAGGUGUCGUGCCAAGGUAGGCAUCCCUGACAAAACCCGCUCCCCCUGCGCCGCAAGCAACCAUGGAGUGCAGAUCUAGUGUACUCAGCCUCCAUUAGAGACAAUUACAUGUGGAAGUACUGUUUUAGUUUUGUGAUAAAGUGAAAAAUGAGUAUCGUUACAUUACCAUUCAGUUUGAGGGUUACAAAAGAAAGUUAUAUAUUUAUAUAUUCUCAUGUGGUAUUGGAUGGGGUUAUUUUAACAAACGAAGUACAUUUUGCCUGAUAAUUAUUUUUAUCCUACUGUAACGUUACUGUAUAUAGAGCUAAAACCUCCAAAGUUUUAGGAGUAGUUAGUCGCUGUAAGAAGUGUUUGUGAACUAAAAAUCAAGAAUGUGGGAUACUGUUUGUCCAUUCUGUCGGGGACACCCACCCCGGCAUGACACAUGGCUAAACAGUUUUGUGGUUAAAAAAACCAAAAACAUUCAUGUUUGUGUUAAGUUUUGUAUAGAAAUGACACAAAAUUCAGGCUCAGGUUAAAUGUGAUGGAAACAGCGUACACUGACAUCCAUCUUGUUAAAAGAGGAGUGUCAUGAAGCCGUGUUUGCAUUUAUUUGCACUGCUGUCCACUCUGGAUGUCUAUUUAUGUUGAGCUGUAAAUGUGAAAAGGUCCAUUCUACAGCCCCAUCUUUUUUUAAGUUGUUGAAUAUAAAAGGUUUUUUAUGUUCUGAUAUUGCACUUUUUUUUCAGAACCAAGGAGUUUUUGAAAUCUGCAUAAAUUUGCAUUUUACAUUACUCUUCAAUAUUUCUUUAAAUACUUAGAUUUAAAAUUAUGCUAAUAGUUUAAAUAAAAAGAUCAGUACUGCUUAACCUCAAAAUGUUUUGGGUUUAGUGUAUUUUUUUGCAUACAAGUAUAAUAGAUGUGUUUUGAUUUGCUUUUAUUUUAGUAUGAACUUGUACAAAAUGCACCAAGAGUAUGGGCUCAAAAUGUGGUCAUAAAUAUUUUGUACCUGUAAAUCAGUUUUGUACUUGUAAAUCAGGAUUUGUAUGUGUAUGCGCCCCUCCGACAGCCAAACCCAUCUGUUCUCUGAUUGGAUUGUUACAUUUGUGAUUGACAUGACAUUGACCAAUCAGAUGAAAGGAAGAAAAAUAGGGUCAAAAUUCGUACUUGUAACUUGCAGAGAGUCACACGUUUUUUUUUUUUGGCUAAGUCCACACACAAAUCUUUUUUAUGCACACACAAAUUCUUUUCACACAUACAAAUCCUGAUUUACAAGUACAAAACUGAUUUACAAGUACAAAAUAUUUAUGACCACAUUUUGAGCCCAUACAAGACAUUAAAAAACUGUUUUAUUGAUUAUAAAAUAAACUAUAUUGGAUUCAUAUCAGUAUCGGCAGAUAUCCAAAUUUAUGAUAUCGGUAUCAGACAAAGGGUUAUCGUGCCAUCUCUAGUUGUGAUGUCAGUUUCUUGAUCAUUAAUAUGCAAAUUGUCAUAACUGUGAUCGACAAUAGGAAACCAACAACCAACAACCUCUGGCUAAGUGUAUGGCACAACACAGGAGAACUAACUCGACAUGCCAGGACUCCGCAAUCUAUUCACAAGUACAGGCAGGGCUGGACUCGGACAAAAAAUCGGCCCGUGCAUUUUGACUGGAGACCGGCUCACCAGGUAUUAGAGGAAAAUCCAUAAAGCCUUUGAAUAAAAACAGACAAUGUUGAGACAGUGAUGUACACUGUCUUGUUGGUAUAUAUGUAUCAAUAUAAUAAAUUUAAACCUACACCAUCCUCCCUAUUCUGAUAUUCUAAAUAGUAUUUAGUGGAAAUAUUAAACAACCUAAUCAAUAAUUACAUACACAUAGCAUCUUACAGUGCUGUGAUUGCAGCCCUUCCCCAACUCUCUGUCAAUGGUACUCAUGGCCAUUGAUCAGUGGGUUUUGAUCAGUGGCUGUUGAUCAAUGAUCAUGAGAAUUUGCAUAACUAUAUUGGACUGAUCACAGCCAGAGAAACAGCAAUUUAGAAACAACAAUAUUGCAGAAAUGGAAACAGAGCAACUAUGGACGAAAGUUUCGGCCUGUCUCAGCAAUGCAAAGCCCCCAGCAUCCAACAUCACCAUGGAGGAGAGGAAGGCACUCGCAUCACUUAGUGAUGACAACAACAUUAUCAUCCUUCCGGCAGACAAGGGUAGGUGCACAGUUUUGCUAAACCAGAAAGACUACCAUGAGAAAAUUUUGUCACUACUCUGUAACGAAAAUACUUAUGAGCCCCUGAAACGAGACCCAGGAUGAGGUUACAGGAAGAAGGUGAUAGACUGUCUGAAGCAGUUAGAACAAGAUAAGGCUAUUGACCGGACCUUGUACCACAGGCUGUACCCAGGGGAAUCUACAUCAAGUCUGUAUGGUUUACCAAAGAUGCACAAACAAGGUGCA
Molecule: long non-coding RNA, 5285 nt
Organism: Oreochromis niloticus (Nile tilapia)
Lineage: Eukaryota; Metazoa; Chordata; Actinopteri; Cichliformes; Cichlidae
Source: Ensembl